This 388-nucleotide ribosomal RNA is filed under the name uncultured bacterium. RNAcentral describes it as "bacterial SSU rRNA". It matches the Rfam family "Bacterial small subunit ribosomal RNA", at positions 28 to 417 of the family's 1533-position model. The record is from RNAcentral.
GACGAACGCUGGCGGCGUGCUUAACACAUGCAAGUCGAGCGAGGCCCUUCCUUCGGGAGGGUGUCCUAGCGGCGAACGGGUGAGUAACACGUGGGCAACCUGCCCUCAGCUCUGGGAUAACUCCAAGAAAUUGGGGCUAAUACCGGAUAUGACUGCUGACCGCAUGGUCUGGUGGUGGAAAGAUUUAUCGGCUGGGGAUGGGCCCGCGGCCUAUCAGCUUGUUGGUGGGUAGUGGCCUACCAAGGCGACGACGGGUAGCCGGCCUGAGAGGGUGACCGGCCACACUGGGACUGAGACACGGCCCAGACUCCUACGGGAGGCAGCAGUGGGGAAUAUUGCGCAAUGGGCGGAAGCCUGACGCAGCGACGCCGCGUGGGGAUGACGGCCU